This is a long non-coding RNA of Bufo bufo (common toad), 166 nucleotides long. RefSeq lists it as uncharacterized. The transcript is spliced from 3 exons. NCBI's taxonomy places the organism in Eukaryota, Metazoa, Chordata, Amphibia, Anura, Bufonidae. The record is from RefSeq and is a predicted model, not a curated record.
CUCACAGUAAAUAUCCAGAGGUGCACCACCAAUGAGGCCAGGUGAGGCGAUCGCCUCAGUCAGCACCAGGUAGGGGUAAGAGGGGGGCAGUGGAAGGGCUAUGUGCAAUGAGCACUUUUAUUGUGGCAAAGGGUUUAGGUUAAGAAAUUGGCAUGGGGGGGCACCG